Canis lupus familiaris (dog) is the source of this 108-nucleotide small nuclear RNA. Lineage: Eukaryota; Metazoa; Chordata; Mammalia; Carnivora; Canidae. The record is from RefSeq and is a predicted model, not a curated record.
GUGCUCGCUUUGGCAGCACAUAUACUAAAGUUGAAACAAUACAGAAAAGAUUAGCAUGGCUCCUGCUCAAGGAUGGACAUGCAAAUUCAUGAAGUGCUCCAUAUUUAA